Molecule: ribosomal RNA, 328 nt
Filed under: uncultured archaeon
Lineage: Archaea
Description: partial 16S ribosomal RNA
Rfam family: Archaeal small subunit ribosomal RNA
Source: RNAcentral
GGGUGGAGCYUGCGGUUUAAUUGGAUUCAACGCCGGAAAUCUCACCGGGUCCGACAGCAAUAUGAWGGYCAGGMUGAAGACUUUUCYGGAUUAGCUGAGAGGAGGUGCAUGGCCGUYGUCAGUUYGUACUGUGAAGCAUCCUGUUAAGUCAGGCAACGAGCGAGACCCACGCCCACAGUUGCCAGCGUACUCUCCGGAGUGACGGGUACACUGUGGGGACCGCCUCUGCUAAAGCGGAGGAAGGAAUGGGCAACGGUAGGUCAGUAUGCCCCGAAUAUUCCGGGCUACACGCGGGCUACAAUGGUUGGGACAAUGGGUAUCUACCCCG